UCAAAUUUAAACACCGCCUACACAUAUUCAUAUAAAAUAUUGUUACAUAUUCAUUAUGAAAACUACAUAUAAGCAUUAAAUUUUAUGGCAAGACAGAUCCAUUGGCACCUGUAUCUCUAUCAAUAAAUUCUGUACCAGAAAUUAGCAAAAGACCAAAUAUAGAAAAACAAAACAAAAAAUUCUGGACCAAAAAUAAUAAAACAAUAAAACAUUAAAUUGAGACUGGCACGUGCGGGGGCAAACACAAGUUGCAGCUACCAGUCAGGGGCGUAGAAUUUUAGUUUAGUGAUUGAGACGGUGAAUACCGCCACGUGUCCCCAUCCUCCCAACUAACUUUCCAAAGGCUAGAAAGAAAUCUUCAAAGUUCAAAUCAAACCCUGAAAAGAGUCAAAACCCUAUGCUCAUUGCUACAUGCC
This 416-nucleotide long non-coding RNA is filed under the name Prunus persica (peach). RNAcentral's name for it is "long non-coding RNA (PPER_LNC006615)". Lineage: Eukaryota; Viridiplantae; Streptophyta; Magnoliopsida; Rosales; Rosaceae. The record is from RNAcentral.